AGCCUUGCGUGUGACAGGAUAAGGUUGUGUGAAAAUUUUUCAGCUCGCGCACCCGUCGCUUCCCUUCCGCUCCGUUUUUUUGCCAUCCCUCUCUUACGUGUGGGCCAUCCUAAGGAAGGGAUGCUAAUUUAGCUAGUUAAUUGGAGAUACAACGUAGCUGAGCAAAUAAUGGGACCGAUUUAGAAAAUUUUCUGACUUAGGCCUUGUUUAGAUACACCCAAAAACCCAAAUUUUUACAAGAUUCUCCAUCACAUCGAAUCUUGCGGCACAUGUAUGGAGCAUUAAAUAU
This 289-nucleotide long non-coding RNA is filed under the name Sorghum bicolor (sorghum). RNAcentral describes it as "long non-coding RNA (SBIC_LNC014934)". The record is from RNAcentral. Lineage: Eukaryota; Viridiplantae; Streptophyta; Magnoliopsida; Poales; Poaceae.